RNAcentral lists this ribosomal RNA (503 nucleotides) under Cabalia rufiventris. Its description in RNAcentral is "partial large subunit ribosomal RNA". It matches the Rfam family "Bacterial large subunit ribosomal RNA", at positions 1797 to 2572 of the family's 2925-position model. Lineage: Eukaryota; Metazoa; Arthropoda; Insecta; Coleoptera; Meloidae. The record is from RNAcentral.
CGCCUGUUUAUCAAAAACAUGUCCUUUUGGUGUUUAUUUAAGGUUUGGCCUGCUCCAUGAUUGAUUUAAAUAGCCGCAGUAUCUUGACUGUGCAAAGGUAGCAUAAUCAUUAGUUUUUUAAUUGGAAGCUGGUAUGAAGGGUCGGAUGAGGAAGAAACUGUCUCAUUGCAAAUUUAUUUGAAUUUUAUUUUUAAGUUAAAAAGCUUAAAUUUUAUAGAAAGACGAGAAGACCCUAUAGAGUUUAAUAGGCUUAUAUUUUAAUUAUUAGAAGUUGGUAUUUUAAUUUUCUUAUAACUUAUUUUGUUGGGGUGAUACAAGAAUUGAAUAAACUUCUUGGACUAUGAACAUUGAUUAAUGAUUGGUUGAUCCUAUUUUUUGGAUUAUAAGAGUAAAUUACCUUAGGGAUAACAGCGUAAUUUUUUUGGAGAGUUCUUAUCGAUAAGAAAGAUUGCGACCUCGAUGUUGGAUUAAAGUUUAAUUUUGGUGUAGGAGCUGGGAUUUUA